This 1025-nucleotide long non-coding RNA is filed under the name Calidris pygmaea (Spoon-billed sandpiper). RNAcentral describes it as "lncRNA (ENSCPGG00000018111.1)". Lineage: Eukaryota; Metazoa; Chordata; Aves; Charadriiformes; Scolopacidae. The record is from RNAcentral.
UGCCACCCCAGCCCCCACCGGACCCAGAGCUGGGGUCCCCCGAGGGGGCUGGGGGCCGGCGGGAUGUCCCAGGGGGGCAUCCCUCAGCCCCCCACCCCCCUCGAGGCUGGGCAGGGGGCACCGGUCUGUGGCCACACCGCGGCAAACGGCCCCCCAUCGGCGGUGUCACGGCCGAGGCACCCCCUGUCCCCGCCGUUCAGUGCCUUUCGGGGGGGGCCGUGUCCUCCAGCAGCACCGGGUCUCACCACCGGGUCUCUCCGGAGCCUCGAGGCCUGUGUUCCCCCCCCGUGGUGCCCCCACCCUGGUGGUGCCCGUGCGAUGCCGAAGGGUCCGGUCCCAGCAAAGCCGGUCGUGGAAAUAUUUCACCGGUUCCCGUUUCGCUUCCACCCGGAGCUCGUGGCUCAUGAGGCCUUGUCUGGCACCGGCCACCACUGUGUCCCCCCCCGUCCCAUCACCGAAAUCCCACCUUGGGGGGGGGACACUGGCACGGAGGAGCACCCUCCUGCCAUCGCCGGGGCCAGUCCCCCCGGGCACGGCACAGCCAGCACCGGGAAAGAGCCAGAAGGGACUGGAAGGGGCACGGAGCCACCCCGGCCACGGGGUCCCGCUCCUGUGGGUCCGGCCGGGAUCCAUCUGCCCCCCCCUCACCCCAACCAUUGCCAAAGCCCCAUCCGGCGGGAGGGGAGGGGGGGUCUCGCUCCCCCCGACCUGGGACGCAGCCACUGGCCUCACGCCUGGGGCACGUGGCCCGUCCCUGGGGAGGGGGCCGCGCGUGGCUGGGCUCUGGCUGGCGGUGGGGGCUACGGGGGCAACGACGGCGAUUCGGGGCUGGGAAGGACGGGAGGAGCCCCGGCCGGGUACCUCCCCCCCAAAGUCUUUAAGAGCCUCGAACAAGGGGGUGGCUGAGAGAGGUGGGACCCCCCUCCAUGGGCAUCAUGCCCCCCGGGCAUCGUCCCCCCCAUGGGUAUCAUCCCCCCACGUCGGGGCAGUGACAGCCACGGCGGGGUCCAGCCCAGUGCGGAGCC